GGCCCCAUAGUUCAAUGGAUAGAAUGUCAGAUUCCGAUUCUGAUGAUCUGGGUUCGAAUCCCGGUGGGGUCA
Molecule: transfer RNA, 72 nt
Filed under: Bacteroidales bacterium
Lineage: Bacteria; Pseudomonadati; Bacteroidota; Bacteroidia; Bacteroidales
Also listed under: 1 other name
Description: tRNA-Arg
Rfam family: tRNA
About the family: Transfer RNA (tRNA) molecules are approximately 80 nucleotides in length. Their secondary structure includes four short double-helical elements and three loops (D, anti-codon, and T loops).
Source: RNAcentral